Molecule: long non-coding RNA, 631 nt
Filed under: Homo sapiens (human)
Lineage: Eukaryota; Metazoa; Chordata; Mammalia; Primates; Hominidae
Description: HSALNT0184209
Source: RNAcentral
GGAGCAUCUCAGUGUGGCAGGGUCAAGGUGCCAGGAGCAUCCUGAACAGAUGGUAAAGGCAGGUGUGUCCUGCAUUUCCUAGCAACACCAUGCGGGGGGUGUUGUCUGACUGCCACAUAGAAACUUUUACUGCAGUGCAGACAGCGACAAUUCCAAACCGAUAAUGAAAGACCCUAAAAUAGGCCCUAUGUAUCAGGCUGCCCUGUGUCCCUGGGAAAGAGCCAUGUGUCAACUGGAUGUCAACCCCAGCAUUUUCUUACUGACCCACCUCCCUGACUUUUAUCUCUGAGCAUGCAGAUAAGCACAUAUGACAGUCUCUAGAGAUUAUUUCUAAAUAUACCAACCCCUGUUUAUACCAAAAUGGGUUCCCUGUGUUGGCAGGUUGAAAGGCACUUCCAAAGCCAGCAGGCUCCAGAAUGCCAAAUAUGGCCAAGCUCAGACCCCGCAAGGUAGACCACAGGGAGGCUCCCCACAGGUGCCAGGGCUAUGGGCUAUUUUCAUUUCCAAACAAAAUUUUCCACCCUAUAAACCCUAAAGUAUUUUAUCGAAGCAGGGGGGUCUAAUUCAUCCAUUUGCUGCGGAAAGGGCAACAUCUUCAGCAGGGAAGAGACAGCUAUUUUGAGUCACGGCA